CGUAGGGUGCAAGCGUUAAUCGGAAUUACGUGGGCGUAAAGCGUGCGCAGGCGGCUUUGCAAGACAGAUGUGAAAUCCUCGGGCUCAACCUGGGAACUGCAUUUGUGACUGCAUGGCUGGAGUACGGUAGAGGGGGAUGGAAUUCCGCGUGUAGCAGUGAAAUGCGUAGAUAUGCGGAGGAACACCGAUGGCGAAGGCAAUUCCCUGGACCUGUACUGACGCUCAUGCACGAAAGCGUGGGGAGCAAACAGGAUUAGAUACCCUGGUAGUCCACGCCCUAAACGAUGUCAACUGGUUGUUGGACGGCUUGCUGUUCAGUAACGAAGCUAACGCGUGAAGUUGACCGCCUGGGGAGUACGGCCGCAAGGUUG
This 371-nucleotide ribosomal RNA is filed under the name uncultured organism. RNAcentral describes it as "bacterial SSU rRNA". It matches the Rfam family "Bacterial small subunit ribosomal RNA", at positions 526 to 896 of the family's 1533-position model. The record is from RNAcentral.